GGGCAAGUCUCAUACGACCAGCUCCUGUUGAAUCCCCCAGGAUGGGAACGUAGCAAGGGUAAACGGUUGUAGCGGUGCGAUAUGAGUAGCUUGCCCUUU
Molecule: signal recognition particle RNA, 99 nt
Filed under: Crocinitomicaceae bacterium
Lineage: Bacteria; Pseudomonadati; Bacteroidota; Flavobacteriia; Flavobacteriales; Crocinitomicaceae
Description: signal recognition particle sRNA small type
Rfam family: Bacteroidales small SRP
About the family: The non-coding component of the signal recognition particle in Bacteroides
Source: RNAcentral